Molecule: ribosomal RNA, 227 nt
Filed under: uncultured prokaryote
Description: partial 16S ribosomal RNA
Rfam family: Bacterial small subunit ribosomal RNA
Source: RNAcentral
GACGGAGGGUGCAAGCGUUGUUCAGAUUGACUGGGCGUAAAGGGCGUGUAGGCGGUCGGUCAAGUCCGAUGUGAAAGCCCGGGGCUCAGCCCCGGAAGUGCAUCGGAAACUAGCCGGCUGGAGCGCGAUAGAGGAGGGUGGAAUUCCUGGUGUAGCGGUGAAAUGCGUAGAUAUCAAGAGGAACACCUGCGGCGAAGGCGGGUUGCUGGGCCGACACUGACGCUGAA